CACUCCCUUGGUAAGCAUGCAAAAACGAAAGAAAAGAAACGGCAUCGCUGCAGACUGUUUGUUCGCAGAAUCCUGUUUCCAUGGUGACAUUCAUUGCAGUGUAUGUAUAUGUGAGCCAAUAGUGCAAGCCUGAAAUGUACUGUACAGGGGAGGAAAACCUCCCUGUCCUCAUUGAGAUGCAUCUGAGUGUGUUGCUCUGCUGAAGGGGAAUCCCGGUUUCAAACGGAGGAAACCCUGGCUCAGCCUUACCUGCCAGAGGAGAAGGAGCUGAAACAGCUUUAGCCAAUCUGUCAGCGUCUGCCUCUGUGCGAUGGGGGAAGAAGAGGCAGGAGAGAGCUGUUAUGUAAGACCUCAGCGGCACGUGAACUCCCUUCCUCAUCACUAGUCACAUCCCUGAGAGAGCUUUGCUCUCCGGAACCUUCCAAACUACCCACCGCCAUCAUCCAGCUGCAUGCCAAGGCAGGGCUUGAAGAUUCAAUUACGGAGGGAACUGGCCGGCCUGGCGUAGAUGGUGCUUUGCUUCCCCACAGACUUUACAGGCUUGCUGUCAUCUUCUCCAGCUGUGUUAGUGCCGCUGCAAUAUUCCAACAGCCUGCUGUAGGGUGUGGGGUGCUGGCUGUCUACUGCAAGAGGAAAGAGAAUCCAUUGGGGCUCAUUUCAGGAAAAUGCAGGUUUGUGCCUAUCCCCACAACUACAGUCAGAAAGAAUUAAGAAGCGGCAAGUUUCACCUUCUUGAAAUGAGGCAGGGGCUGAAGCAGAAAAAGGAGUUGAGAGUGGUUUCAACUAAGAGACAUGAGAAACGCAAAAACUGGUUUAAGGGCCAUCUCUAAAAAUGACACCUGAGAGUGACAGCCAAGCUGGUAAGAUGAGACUUCUAACAGGACCAGUCUAUAUUGAUGAGCAGCAUGCACUAGACUUUCAAGCACUCUCAACAAUGCUUGAUGGCAAAUUAUAUCAUCCCUUGCCCACAUUAUUCUGCUGGAAAAUUCCCCUGUUCCCAGAAAGAAAUGCAAUUUGACAGAAAUGUACGAAUUAAAAGGAACAAAAUGUAAUUAAAAUGGCGAUAGCACAUAAUCUGGUAACCCA
Long non-coding RNA from Podarcis raffonei (Aeolian wall lizard), 1086 nucleotides. RefSeq lists it as uncharacterized. The transcript has 6 exons. The record is from RefSeq and is a predicted model, not a curated record. Lineage: Eukaryota; Metazoa; Chordata; Lepidosauria; Squamata; Lacertidae.